GUAAACCAACCACUAGUUGUCAAAAAUAUUUGCCGGCGGAAUACAACACAGUAUCGAAACAGACAAACAAAAAAACAUGAAAUUCAAAGGAAUAUUGUCGGAUCAACUAUGCAUGAAAGAUUUUUUCAACAUUGUGUCGACAUUUGCACGGUUAUCAAAACGAGCAGUAUUCAAUAUAAGAAAGUCUGGGUUAUGUAUCAGCAAUGUCGGUAUUGGUAUUAAUGCGAAUUCUAUUGCUUGGUCACAAAUUGAAAGCAAAAACUUUUUCGCUCAUUUCAACAUGAAAGGAGUUGAUGAAAGUUAUGAUGAAAUUUGGUUAACUCUUUAUCCAGAGCAACUGGCAACUGCUUUAAAUACUGUAAAGACACAUUUCGUCAAAGUGAUUGUUUUGAAAUUAACGAAUAAACAAUUUCCUUGCAUUUCAGUUGAUAUCGAAAUGGCACCACAAAACUCCAAUAAUUAUAGACGGCUUGUGCAUGAUCUGCCUGUUUCGAUAAUACCAGUUAGAGAAUGGAAUGAAUAUCAUCAACCUGUGCUUAAAAACUUUGAUAUAUCUAUUCAAAUGCCAUCACUAAAAUCUUUGCGAACUCUUUGUGACAAAAUGAAGAAUCUUGCAGCAACCAUCACAAUAUGCUGUAUAUCAUCCGGUGAUUUAUCAUUUAUUGUUGAAACUGAUUCAGCAAUAGUUGUAAGUCGCUACUUCAAUUUAAUCCUAGAUCAAAUGAAUGAAGACAACAGCAACAUGGUAGAAGAUGGCCAGUCCAGAGAGAUUUGUUGUAACAUUGAUACGAAACAAUUGUCCAUGUGUUUUGGAAGUAUUCAGGUAUAUUAUUAGUUCAUUUUCACAAAUUGCUCAAAAUGAUUGAUUGAGAUUGAUAAGAGCGGACAGCUUUACUGUGUUGCGACCUAAAACCAAGAAAUUUGGAACCGCUUCCAAUCAUUUAGACAUUUAGUAUCAACGGUAUUUAAGCCUCAAGUAAAACCUGCAAAAAUAAAUACUUUUAUAUGGAAAAUAAUCAAAAUAAACGAUUUUCGUUGGAAAACUGCUAUUUUUGCGAAGCUUCCAAGUACAUUACAAAUCUUUGGCAAUAUGAUACAAGAUGAAUUGUUCAACAUUAAAAUAAAAGUACGAGACAAUGUUUCACUCUUUUUCAACAUACAAUGUGUUGAUGCCACGUAGACAAAGAAUCAAUGAAAAGGAAAACAAUAAAAGAUGUUAAGAAAAUGAA
Sitodiplosis mosellana (orange wheat blossom midge) is the source of this 1229-nucleotide RNA transcript. It is a transcript of the gene named checkpoint protein HUS1, with no coding region annotated. Lineage: Eukaryota; Metazoa; Arthropoda; Insecta; Diptera; Cecidomyiidae. The record is from RefSeq and is a predicted model, not a curated record. The transcript is spliced from 8 exons.